GACAGUGACUCUCCCAAAUGAGGGAGUUAGUGAAUUAGAUGAGUGAGUGAGUGAAAAACUGUGUGAACUCGUACCUCAGUUUGUCUUUCUGUAGACAGUGACUCCUCCAAAGGAGUGAGUGAGUGAAUUAGAUGAGUAACACAGAACGUGUACCUCAGUUUUACUUUCUGUAGAGACAGACUUCGCCAAAGGAGAUGAGUGAGUGAGUGAGGGAAUGAGUGAAUGAUUUGAUGAGUGAGUGAAAAACAGUGUGAACUCGUACCUCAGUUUUACUUUCUGUAGACAGUGACUCUCCCAAAGGAGGGAGUAGUUAGUGAAUUAGAUGAGUGAGUGAGUGAGUGAGUAACAGUGUGAACUCGUACCUCAGAGCUCAGCUUUACUCGCUAUUAUAAUAACGCGGACAGCGAUGAGCUGAGUCGUUCUUUCGCUCUGAACCGCGAAACUCCGCUAGAAAUGUUGCCCGCCGUGACAAACAGGAGCCUCGACUUGUGGCAGGAGGGGAACAGCAGCACUUCUGAGAAGGCCGUUUCACAGCGGCCGUGGGUCUUUGCUGCUGCAGCACACAGUAAUGACUCCAGACCCGAACCGGACCUUCCAAACGUGGAUCCCCCUACGGAGAGGACUAGUGGCAUUAUCCCAGGGCUGAUAGCUGCUGCACUGUUCAUCGCCUUCCUUUUGGGUCUUUAUGCAAUGCUGUGGAAGUGCAUGGUGAGCCAGGCCAACAGGUAAGCCACAAAAAAACCACAUGCAGAUGCUUACUUCUAGUGUGUGUGUGUGUGUGUGUGUGUGUGUGUGUGUGUGUGUGUGUGUGUGUGUGUGUGUGUGUGUGUGUGUGUGUGUGUGUGAGAGAACGUGCAGUCCCUGUUUGCCAUAGACACUGUGAAAGGAUGUCAGCCUGGGAACAGAGACAUCAUCACCCUUGUGACCCUGAAUCAGUACAUUAAUAACUUUAUAUAUCAAUAUUGUGUCAGCUGUCACAUUUAUGUGGAUUGUCAGGCCUGGAAUCAACCUGGCCAAACUUUACUUCUGUAACUCUUGUUUUGUGCUAAUCAUACUAAUUUAUGUAGAUUAAAUUGUAGUACCUGGUUUUCAUGAGUAAUGUGGUGUACGGCAGUGUAACUCGGUAACAUGGUAUUGCCUUGCUGACCUAACAGGAGAAUGAAUAUGCGGAGGGUGAAGAUCCGCAAAAAGCCGGACCUGGCUGCUGAGGAACAGGCCUGAGUCAUGGACAAUGCUGUGGGGACUGUGGGAGCUGCUGGUAGCCUGAGGCUGUACCACUCUGGGUACCUUUGGGGCAACUGGGUAUCUCUCGCUCAAAAUGUGUCAUGUCUGCUCUGCUGCUUUUACAGAGGCUACAGGUUAAGAGCCUAAGACUCCCUGCAGUGCUGCGAACAAUCGCAUAUGGAUCACUGUGCUACGGAGUUGCCGGUAGCCACUAAGAUAUUUUAGGUGUUGGAAUGGCAGUAUUGCUGAAAUCUUUUUUCCUAUAGUAAAACACUUUUCCUUUGUGAGGUGCAAA
This 1519-nucleotide long non-coding RNA is filed under the name Scleropages formosus (Asian bonytongue). RNAcentral's name for it is "lncRNA (ENSSFOG00015024758.1)". Lineage: Eukaryota; Metazoa; Chordata; Actinopteri; Osteoglossiformes; Osteoglossidae. The record is from RNAcentral.